This is a long non-coding RNA of Numida meleagris (helmeted guineafowl), 8103 nucleotides long. RefSeq lists it as uncharacterized. NCBI's taxonomy places the organism in Eukaryota, Metazoa, Chordata, Aves, Galliformes, Numididae. The record is from RefSeq and is a predicted model, not a curated record. The transcript has 2 exons.
UGAUGUAAUCCCUAGAUACGUGGAAUGUGGUGUUUCCAGUGUGUUCUAGUAUAUUCCAGCAUAUCCAUAGUAUUCUGUAUCCAUAGUGUUGUAGUUAACAACAUAUCCCAUAUAUGGAGAUAACUCAGGCAACGAUUUGUUAGCGUGCGCGUUGCAUAGAGCUUGUAUCCCUGGACCCUGUAUCCCUGGAAGCAUAUAUGCUAUAUAAGAUGGUGUGUUGCUACAAUAAAAUUGGAUGCAUCUCAUAUUGACUUGAUCGUGCGUUCCCCACGCGAGUACCGGUAGGGCAACCCUUUGGGGAUACCGGGGCGUUCCCCAACACUGAAUCUAGAGAUAUAACCAGAAUUUUUGGUAACUACUCCAGGACUCUGUAAAUGUAAAACUAAAAUAGAAAUAGAGGAAAAGCAGCUUGAUAUAUAAUAUUUUCUGUAGUUGCAAUGCGUUUUCUAAUAUUUUAUAAUUAUGAUAAGGGAUUAAAGAUGUUGGAUGAAAAAUCUGCUGAAUAUGUGAAUGGACAUGGGAUUCUGAGCUGAUGGGAAAAUUAAUCUCUGUGAUACAUGAAAGACGGUAGACUGGGAACAGGCUGUGAAACUGAGAACAGGUAAGUAGUGGUUGACCUGAGAGACAAAGAGACAUGAAAUAAAAUGGUAAGCCAAGAAGAUCUGCAAAGCAAUACUAUGAAUGGAAAUGAGGGAGAAAAUGAUGUAUUUUUCAAAAUGGGGAAAACAAAGUUGCAUUUAUAAGGAUGAGGAGAGGUUCCAAUUCUAGUUAACUUUCUGGGGAUCUAAUCCUUUAAAUAAGCCUUAGACGUUCUGCUUUGAAUGGAGUUUUAAAUUUCAGAAAGUAUCCAUGCCAUAUAAUAUCAAGCAUUCUUUUGAAUCUUUCAUGAAUUCUUUUGGGAAGAAUUUAAAUCUGUAAAUAGGUGUUCACAUGUUCCUUACAGAGUUUGGAUCUGCUGCCAUAGGUUAUUCAGAACUUUUAGAGUAAAGCUAAUUUUUGCCCCAAGAUUUGUAGCAGUUUUCAGGAAAUGAGCUCCUCUCUGUUCCUUUUUCAGAGAGCUGAAGUUUCUGACUUGAAAAAGAUGGCUGACAAUAACUGGAUUGAUUGGAUUCCAUCCGUAUGUUUACUGAGGCGUGUUAAAAACAUGACACAUAAGAAUUAAAAAAUAAAAGUCAGUUGAAAGAACAAGGAAGCAUUUUUUGGGAGAUUAUACAAAUAUUUUCUUGCUACUGGAACUCAGAUCAAUGAAUUCACUAACUGAAAAAAUGCUCCUCUUGAAUUCUCAGAAAUGGGUAGUGCUAAUUUAGAGUCAUGAGCCUAUCAAAGAGGGCGUGGUAUGAUUUGCUUUAACAUAGAUCUUUAAGAAAGCUGAUAGCUGUAAAGUUAAACUUAGUACAUCUGAGAUUUUGGGGAAAAUUCAAUUACUUUUCCCACAGCUUCUUUGUUUUAUUGUGUUAGUGCAACUUACAAAAGAACAAAAAGUUCUAAAUUGCAUUUCUUUUGUACUUUGGCAAGAGAAUGGUGCUCCUGUGCAAAUGCACUGGUCUUUCUGCUAACGUACAUGGUUCUGGCACUGGGAAUUAGCUAGACACAUCAAUCACAUUAAUUGCUGAGCUGCUAAUGGCUUCAUAAUGCAGUGUUCUAUUAAUGCUGAUAAAUUGUCAUGUGCUCAUUAACAGUAAUUUUUCACCAGAGAGUAGAACCUAAUACGGUAUCAGGAGGCUGUAAAAAGUUCUGAUAUUCCUUAAUAUAUUAUUAUUGGGAAAAAAAUCAAAUUGUGGCAAACUACAUUAAAACUGUUCAUAGUUUGAGUUUAUUUUUGCAUUUUCCUAAGACUAUAUAAUUUAAAUCUAGUAUUUGCUGAAUAGAACAACAGAAUCUUUAGCACUAAAGAACAGCAACUGAACUGAAUAAAAUAAAAUAAAUAAAAUAAAAUAAAAUAAAAUUAGCAUUGUGAAAAGAAAUCUUCAAGUGGAGAUGUUUGACUGAAAAGUCAUCCAUUUUAUGUCCAGUAAAGCAAUUUCCUUUAAAAAAAACCACCUGUCCUAUAUCAGCUAAGAUUACAAAAAAUGAAAUCAUAAAAUUUAAGUUUUUUGUUAAAUAUUAUAGCAGUGGUGUUUGCUCAUGAUAUGACAUUUAGUGAUAAUUUAGCAGCCAUUAUUGCUAUAGUUAACUUCCCAUGCAGUAGUCUUCAAUUCCCAUAGCUUUUCAUUAUUUCAUAUAGUAUCAGUAAGGCUGUAUUCAAUCAGAAAUCUUGCUAUAUUUGAAAGAAAAUAGCAAUAUUUUUGAAUGGCAACUUAAUCAGGUAAAGGAAAAUUAUAUUUUAUCUGAACAUAUGUGUUAAAUAUGAAAUUCCAUGCAACAUCUAAAAGAAAAAUAAUCUCGAUCUCUUUGUGAAUUUCCAAUUGCUAUGAAACAGACAGCUUUGUUAACCCUGGAGGCUGCCAUUUGCUACUAUAAAGAAGAAAUACAGUUUCAUGGGCUUAUUGCCAAACAGGAAGCUAUGAUUUGUUUAAUGAUCAAAAGAGUGUUUAAUGCUACACAAACACAUUAAUUUUAAAAGAUGAGGUACUACUCCAGACUUGAAGAACUGAUGGUUUAUAUCACCUAAGAGAAAAAAAAAAAUCAACAAAACAAUCCUUGAGGAUAUCCAGAACUAGAAGAAGAUGAAAAGGUAUAAAUAAUACUGCAAAAUUAUGUUUAAAUAUAAUCAGAUGAUGUUUACUUGUGCAUGAGAUCUUAAUGGUUCUGUUGAAUAUGUGGAUGAAUGAAAAUAGGCAUGGAAGUCAACCCUUAGGUUGUGGUUAUCCUCAGAAGACAUACAACAGGACUCUCAGUUCAAAUAUUUCUCAGUUUAUAUGUUCCUUAAACAUAAACAGACAUGGAAUUCAAUAUAUUUUUAAAGUAUUCAAGAUAAACAACCACUAAUGUUAACAUUUCUAAUCUGGAAACACGCACAAAGAAUAUUUAUCUUCUCUUCCUCCCUUUUCAUCAUCCUAUUUGCAGCGUGGCUACCUUUAAAGUUAUUAUUUCUUCUUAUAUGUAUUCUUGUAAAUGAGUAUUUUUUUUUUCUGUGUUAAUAGAUUGGAAGUAGCUUAAAGGUAUGAAUAAAAUGGCUCACGGUAAUUAGAUUACUUCAUUUUGUAGAGGAAAACAUAUCCUGCAUACAAAUACGUUCAAUCCUUUUUGUAGAGAUCCCAGUUUUAUGAAACUAAAAAUGUUCUGAAAUAGCCAUGAGCUCUAGAAGAACUGACUACACAUUCACUAUAAGCAAAACUAUCAUUCAGUGUACUGUUAGAUUUUCCACUAUGGCUGUAGAAAAUCUCUGGUUGUUUUUACAACCUAUCAUGUACCACAAACUAGCUAUUUCAUUUAUCCUUGGCAGACAUGGUUAAACUGUUUCGCAGGGUGGAAAAAAAUGGAGAGAGAAUGCAUAUGUAGUCAGGUGGUGUAGUCCAUGAGUAUUAGUUUACUAUUAAGACUCUACAGAUUUAAAUUUCAAAGAUUCAGUUGCUCUUAAAGAAGAAAGCCUCCCACUGUUCAGUUAGCUAGGAAUUUAUCUACUUGGUUUGAUUGUACAAUGGGAAGUCUAGCUGUCAGCAGUUUAUGGGCUGGUUUGGCCCGGUUCCAUGACUAAUGGGGUGGGCGGACCCACAUGCCCACUCCCCAGGAAAGAGGACAAGGGAAAAGGGGAAAGGGUAGGGAGAUGGGCCUAAAAACAAAAUAGCAGCAACGAUCUGAGAAGGAAAGCUAAUUUACUAAAAAACAUAUCAGAAUGCAAGAUAACACAAUAUAAUACAAUAUAAUACAAUAUAAUACAAUAUAAUUGGAAUUGAAGCUCAUAAAGCAAAUAAAAUGAGAGUGUCCAAAAACCAAAGGCCUUAAUCUAAUGCUGAACAUGAGACGCUGCCGAGACGAGCAGAAGGGAAAAGAGAGAGUGUCUCGUGAUCUGCAAACAGUUCUAUCUUUCUCUCUGAACAGAAAAUGGAAACAGAACAAUGCAAAGUCCUCAGGGAGAUGUAGCUCUUCUUCUCUUCUAUCGAUGAUCCACAGAACUGGAGCAUUAACUCUUUAAUUCCCCAUGCACUGCAUGAUGUUAUGAUGUGGAAUACUGAUAACAAAAAUCAUAAAACCAUGACAUUAGCUGCUAGACCUUCAAGGAUCCUUCACGAAGAGAUGAUUUCAGCUGCCAUUAGCUAAACAGUUCUUUCUCUCAGUAGUGGAAAACCUGAUCUUUUUUUUCAUAGAACUGCUCAUUCCUGGCAUCCUAAAUCAUUUUUUUUAAGGAGAGGGUAUACAUACAUUUCAAUGAUUAACUGGCAGUGCUUAGCUUUUCAACACACUAAAUGCAGGACAAGAGGGCCUGUAAGUUGUUCCAUACUAGCUAUAUUUUCACAGAAAUGUCCUGCAGAACAUGAAAAAUCUUAAAUUUCAAAGGUCAUAUCUAUGUUGAUAGUGUCUUUGCCUUUUUUUUGGAAUUAAUAGCAUUUUUUUUUUACAAAAUCAGCCAGUCACAAGUGAAAGCCAACCCACUGCUAAAUAACGGGCAUUUCUAUUACAAGCUGUUCUAUAUGUUUUCAGGUAUUCAGAAGUUAAAUUUCUCAUAUUGGUUGUAUUUCAGUUAAUGAUUUGGAGAAAAAUAAUUGCAUGCCUACUUUUUUAAUCAGUUCCUUAUUGUUCCAAACUGUUGUUUUCUGUGGAAAUAUAGGAAUGACAUGUACCAGAUACAUUUGUAUUUUAUUACCACUUCAGGAGAACACAAGUGUUUGUCUAGAGUGUACACUUCAUACUAUAUUUGAAAGAUUUCAUUGGUCACAAAAGCCAAGAAAUAUUCCUUUGAGAGGCUACAGUGGAAAAAAUCUAAUAUAAAACAUUUACUACUGUCAUCCUUGUACUCACAGAUCCAGAAUUUCAGCUGGUAUCAUCUGGCAUAGCUCCACUGAUGCCAGAGAAGCUCUGCCAACUCUGUGCAUUCCACUGUUCUCAUUCAUUUCAACAACUCUGCAUGCUGAGUAAGAAUCAGACAGAAUAUUUUGCUUUUAUGUGUAGAGAUAAUCUAAAACUGACUUAAAAUACUACUGACUCACUGGUGUGAGUUAAUAGACCAAAAGUAUCGCCAAAACUUAAGUUUAAAUUGAUAAUAGAUGAAGCAGAACAUGGAAGUAAUUAUAUCUUUCAGUUACAGUGAAUGAGAUCAGAAUUUUGUUAAGACUGGUAAAUGCUGUAUACCUGAUGUGUAAAAUAAGAUUCAACAACAAUGAAAAUGUAAAUCAUAAUCUCUCUCUAAAAAAAAGUAUAUCAAUUUAGCUAUAAGUAAAUAAAUAUAUAAAUAAUUAAAUCAAUGUUAAAAUCUGUUGAUAGAUAAAAUGAUAGAAAGAAAAUUAGAAAUUAAAAUUAAUGAUUAAUCUGCUAAACGAUAUAGCUGAAUUUUAUCUGUUUAUGGCUGAACUAUAUUUAUACUUGCUGAAAAACUUCUUUGCAGAGGAGGAAUACAGUUCCUGGUAAUGUUUGCUGAAAAUGCAUUGAAACCAUUCCAGGUUUGCUGAAGUUAAUGAAUGAGUCCCCAGAUAGGUUAAUGAUUUACAAAUCUUUGACAAAAAAAAAUGUCCUAAAUUACAGACUUGUCAAGUAUGUUUUAUGGCGGAGCUUGUGGUAGUAUAACAGAUUGUCUUGUUUAUUCCUAUAUUUAUGCAUUAUUCAUUAUGUUUGUUUCUAUUAAGAUGUAUUUAUCACUAUCUAUCACUCUGUAUGUAAGACUCUAGUGCCUGUAUCAAAGCUCCUACUCUGAAAAUUAUCAGACAACAGGUGAUUUGUGUGCCUUAUAAUAUGAACCUAUCAAACAAGCAUGUAGACAAUGGUCUCUUUGUUGGAAAUGGAGGUAAGGUUUUGCUUGUACAAACUACGAGCUGUGUAAAUUUUUAAUGCAACACAAAAGAUGGAGUGUAUUGUCUAGUAUUAAUAAUAUAAUAAAAAAUCCUUUCAGUCUUCCACAAAUUGGCUGCACGUAGUAACAUGGAACUAGCUUCAUGUCUGUGUGGACAAGCAUUUCUAAUUCUAGCUUCUUGGGAGAUCUCUUCUCUGUAGUUAGCAGACUUUUCCUGAAUGUUACAUUUGACUUUUUUUUUAUUUAUAGGCAAUUGUCCUGUUCUGAGUUACAUCAGCAUGGACUACCAGUAUGAGUACAAAGGCAGAAGGCAUUUUACUAGAGGGCACAAGGGCAUGAGACUUGUUGAGCUUUUCUCUUGCUCUUCGUAGUAGUCUUCAAAGAGAAGCUGAGCUUGGAACAGCUUCCACAAUAUGUGAUUUUCCUUCUUCGUGGUGAACUUUCAGUUCUAUUUGGUUAUCACCUUUUUGCCAUUUCCAGUGGCACAUUUUCCAUUUUUGAGGAUAGUGCUAUUUUUUGAAGUCAAAAGCUCACAAAAAGAGUUCAAAUGUUCUGUCAUGAGGCUGAGAACAGGAUGGAAGUUGAAGAAAAUAACAAAAGUAAGUUGUUACAGAAACUAUUUCCUUACUUGUACCGAGACCCUUUCUAGCAGACUGAUCUAGGACUAGUAACUCUGUCCAUGUCUGAGAGGUUGGAAUGAGAUGAUUUUUAAGAUCCCUUGCAAACUAAGCCAUUCCAUGAUUCUAUGACUGUUGUAAUACUAAUUGAGGCAUAUUGGCUUCAGCUGCCUGGAGCUGAUUCCUGCUCAGAUCUAACACAUAUGCUAUGUUUUUUCUGUAGCCACUGAAGAACAAGCAAUAAACAAUAACCAGAUAUAUAAGGAUGUCUAAAGCUUUGUUCUUGCAGGCAUCUCAAUAGACAAGAGAGCAGGCAGGAGAUGCAAGUCGCGUGUCUGCACAUGUCACAUGAAGGUCCUCACACCUACAGAGGUGAUGAGCAGUAUGCGUAAAAAUCUGUUUCUUCAGUGGUUUUAUUUUCUUCUCAGGGAACAGUUGAGAUACAGAGAAAACAGAUGAGAGCUCCUUCAGGUCUGUCAGUCUGAAAGCUUUUCAGGCUGUGAAGCUGCUCCUGAACCUUGCAAAGGAGAGCUACUCUUUUCCUCUCUUGUGAGCUCAGUCUCAUUCACCCAAAACAUCUGGAGGAGACUUCUGGAUGUCCUUGUCUCAGCUAUUAGCUUGUUCUCUCAAGCAGAACUUCACUUAAAAACUUUAUUUUUGUGUGCAUGACUUCAUAUGUGAAGUCUACAGGGUCUGAAAAUGAGAGUACUUCCCUGUGUUAUCCUCAGGAUCCAUCUGACCUAGAGCAAAAAGACCAUAAAUAGUUACUAUUUUAGAUUCCAAUCCAUUAUUAUGUAGGUUGCUCUGACAGUAAUGUCUCUUAUCUAUUUCCAUUGAAACAGAUACAAAGAGCACAAUAACACUGAUAGAGAAAAUUCUCAGAUACAAAACACUAUUUUUCAGCAUAGUCAUCCUCAUUAGCUAUGCAUUUUCACCAAACAUAAACUAGAGCCUGCAUUCUGUACUUGUACAAAUCUACACCAGUGGAGGUGACCCACUGUUGCCACUGCUGAAACAUACCACCCACCACCUCACUGUGCUCGCAUUCAUUGUUUGGUCUCCAGAAAUAUUCAGAAAGUGACAAUGGAUGUCAGUGGGUGCCAUUUUUUCCACAUGGAGGAAAUCAAUGACACUCCUUUGCUUCAUCCACACUUCCAUGUCAUAUGUCAAUUUGUCAGACUGACCCUCUACUGCCAACUGUCACAACACAAUAAAAUGUAACGGGAUAUUCGUGAGAAGGAUCAACCUCUACUGCAUACAGUUAAAAAAAAAAACAAUCAACCAGUUAACUUCUCUAAUCCAGCUCAGCUGAUGAACAGGAAAUUCUGUUUGUCUUCCUUCUCCUUCCAUGCCUCUCUUCCUUAAGUUAUUUAACAUAUACAGAGAAAACCACGUACACAGAGGAUUUCUUAGCUUAGAGACAGAACUGAAAAAUACAUUUUCAUGAUUUAUUCUUUAAUGAAGAAUAAAACCAUUAGUAUUUUUAAUUUUAGUAUUUUUUUAUUUUAGUGCCUUAGAAAGCUUCUUUCUUUGUUCUACUAUCCUUGAAACUGAGAAUUUUACUAUGUGAAGGAAAAUAAAAUGCACCGAGAUUAAUUCUGA